This 347-nucleotide ribosomal RNA is filed under the name uncultured Pseudomonas sp. Its description in RNAcentral is "bacterial SSU rRNA". It matches the Rfam family "Bacterial small subunit ribosomal RNA", at positions 1036 to 1382 of the family's 1533-position model. The record is from RNAcentral. Lineage: Bacteria; Pseudomonadati; Pseudomonadota; Gammaproteobacteria; Pseudomonadales; Pseudomonadaceae.
GGGUGCUGCAUGGCUGUCGCCAGCUCGUGUCGUGAGAUGUUGGGUUAAGUCCCGUUAACGAGCGCAACCCUUGUCCUUAGUUACCAGCACGUUAUGGUGGGCACUCUAAGGAGACUGCCGGUGACAAACCGGAGGAAGGUGGGGAUGACGUCAAGUCAUCAUGGCCCUUACGGCCUGGCUACACACGUGCUACAAUGGUCGGUACAAAGGGUUGCCAAGCCGCGAGGUGGAGCUAAUCCCAUAAAACCGAUCGUAGUCCGGAUCGCAGUCUGCAACUCGACUGCGUGAAGUCGGAAUCGCUAGUAAUCGUGAAUCAGAAUGUCACGGUGAAUACGUUCCCGGGCCUU